RNAcentral lists this ribosomal RNA (460 nucleotides) under uncultured bacterium. Its description in RNAcentral is "partial 16S ribosomal RNA". It matches the Rfam family "Bacterial small subunit ribosomal RNA", at positions 338 to 795 of the family's 1533-position model. The record is from RNAcentral.
CCUACGGGAGGCUGCAGUGAGGAAUAUUGGUCAAUGGGCGAGAGCCUGAACCAGCCAAGUCGCGUGAAGGAUGACGGCCCUACGGGUUGUAAACUUCUUUUGUCAGGGAGCAAUUGGGUCCACGCGUGGGCUUAGCGAGAGUACCUGACGAAAAAGCAUCGGCUAACUCCGUGCCAGCAGCCGCGGUAAUACGGAGGAAGCGAGCGUUCUCCGGAUGUAUUGGGUUUAAAGGUUGCGUAGGCGGAAUAUCAAGUCAGCGGUAAAAAUUCGGGGCUCAACCCCGUAGUGCCGUUGAAACUGAUGUACUUGAGUGGGCGAGAAGUAUGCGGAAUGCGUGGUGUAGCGGUGAAAUGCAUAGAUAUCACGCAGAACACCGAUUGCGAAGGCAGCAUACCGGCGCCCAACUGACGCUGAAGCACGAAAGCGUGGGUAUCGAACAGGAUUAGAUACCCGGGUAGUC